RNAcentral lists this ribosomal RNA (253 nucleotides) under uncultured bacterium. RNAcentral's name for it is "partial 16S ribosomal RNA". It matches the Rfam family "Bacterial small subunit ribosomal RNA", at positions 524 to 776 of the family's 1533-position model. The record is from RNAcentral.
UACAGAGGGUGCGAGCGUUGUUCGGAAUUACUGGGCGUAAAGCGUGCGUAGACGGCUAUCUAAGUCGGGUGUGAAAGCCCCGGGCUCAACCUGGGAAUUGCAUUCGAGACUGAAUAGCUAGGGUACGGUAGAGGGAAGCGGAAUUUCCGGUGUAGCGGUGAAAUGCGUAGAUAUCGGAAGGAACAUCAGUGGCGAAAGCGGCUUCCUGGACCAGUACCGACGUUCAGGCACGAAAGCGUGGGGAGCAAACAGG